Molecule: ribosomal RNA, 254 nt
Filed under: Klebsiella pneumoniae
Lineage: Bacteria; Pseudomonadati; Pseudomonadota; Gammaproteobacteria; Enterobacterales; Enterobacteriaceae
Description: partial 23S ribosomal RNA
Rfam family: Bacterial large subunit ribosomal RNA
Source: RNAcentral
CCUAGUACGAGAGGACCGGAGUGGACGCAUCACUGGUGUUCGGGUUGUCAUGCCAAUGGCACUGCCCGGUAGCUAAAUGCGGAAGAGAUAAGUGCUGAAAGCAUCUAAGCACGAAACUUGCCCCGAGAUGAGUUCUCCCUGAGACUAUAAGUCUCCUGAAGGAACGUUGAAGACGACGACGUUGAUAGGCCGGGUGUGUAAGCGCAGCGAUGCGUUGAGCUAACCGGUACUAAUGAACCGUGAGGCUUAACCUU